GGAAGUCAUCCGGCUGGAUGAGGAGCCUGCCUUGAACGCAGGUGGCGGCGAAAACCGCGUGUGAGUUCGAGUCUCACGGCUUCCG
RNAcentral lists this transfer RNA (85 nucleotides) under Planctomycetaceae bacterium. RNAcentral describes it as "tRNA-Ser". RNAcentral also lists the same sequence under 1 other name. The record is from RNAcentral. Lineage: Bacteria; Pseudomonadati; Planctomycetota; Planctomycetia; Planctomycetales; Planctomycetaceae.